Pongo abelii (Sumatran orangutan) is the source of this 148-nucleotide unclassified non-coding RNA. It matches the Rfam family "Metazoan signal recognition particle RNA". From Rfam's summary of the family: The signal recognition particle (SRP) is a universally conserved ribonucleoprotein. It is involved in the co-translational targeting of proteins to membranes. NCBI's taxonomy places the organism in Eukaryota, Metazoa, Chordata, Mammalia, Primates, Hominidae. The record is from Ensembl.
GCCAGGCGUGGUGGCGCAUGCCUGUAAUCCCAGCUACUUGGGAGGCUGAGGCAGGAGAAUCACUGGAACCUGGGAGGUGGAGGUUGCAGUGAGCUGAGAUCCUGCCACUGCACUCUAGCCUGGGUGACAAAGUGAGAUCCUGUUUCAA